AUUGAACGCUGGCGGCAGGCCUAACACAUGCAAGUCGAACGAGUGGCGGACGGGUGAGUAAUGUCUGGGACACUGCCCGAUGGAGGGGGGUCACUACUGGAAGCUGUCUCUAAUACCGCAUACCCUCGGAUGUGCCCAUAUGGGAUGAGCUUGUGGGUGGGGUAACGGCUCACCUAGGCGACGAUCCCUCGCUGGUCUGAGAGGAUGACCAGCCACACUGGAACUGAGACACGGCCCAGACUCCUACGGGAGGCAGCAAUGGGGAAUAUUGAACAAUGGGCGCAAGCCUGAGGCAGCCAUGCCGCGUGUAUGAAGAAGGCCUUCGGGUUGUAAAGUACUUUCAGUGAGGAGGCGUUACUCGCAGAAGAAGCACCGGCUAACUCCGUGCCAGCAGCCGCGGUAAUUC
Molecule: ribosomal RNA, 406 nt
Filed under: uncultured bacterium
Lineage: Bacteria
Description: partial 16S ribosomal RNA
Rfam family: Bacterial small subunit ribosomal RNA
Source: RNAcentral